GGGGAUUUAGCUCAGUGGUAGAGCGCUUGCCUAGCAAGCGCAAGGCCCUGGAUUCGGUCCCCAGCUCUGGAAAAAAAAUUUUUUUAGGGGACUCCAGAGGUCCUGAGUUCAAUUCCCA
This 118-nucleotide transfer RNA is filed under the name Rattus norvegicus (Norway rat). Lineage: Eukaryota; Metazoa; Chordata; Mammalia; Rodentia; Muridae. The record is from Rfam by way of RNAcentral.